CAGGAUUUUAAUGGUUCAAUUGUCUGAUUCUCCCACAUCAGGUAGCCUAUGCCAUUUAUACCAUCUAUAUGUCUGGCAUUUCAAACAGCUCUCUAUAAAGAGUCAUAAGAAAGGAAGUAGAUGCAUAAGCAGUGCAACUGAUGUUUGUAAAGGAAGGCCACUGCUUCCCCAGCCCUCAUUAUCUCGUCAUUUCUAAGGAACUUCCCUAUCCGCAACAGUCAGCACCAUUAAACCCCAACCAGAACC
This 246-nucleotide unclassified non-coding RNA is filed under the name Hevea brasiliensis (rubber tree). The record is from RNAcentral. Lineage: Eukaryota; Viridiplantae; Streptophyta; Magnoliopsida; Malpighiales; Euphorbiaceae.